UGGGGAAUAUUGGACAAUGGGCGAAAGCCUGAUCCAGCCAUGCCGCGUGUGUGAAGAAGGUCUUCGGAUUGUAAAGCACUUUAAGCUGGGAGGAAGGGCAUUAACCUAAUACGUUAGUGUUUUGACGUUACCGACAGAAUAAGCACCGGCUAACUCUGUGCCAGCAGCCGCGGUAAUACAGAGGGUGCAAGCGUUAAUCGGAAUUACUGGGCGUAAAGCGCGCGUAGGUGGUUUGUUAAGUUGGAUGUGAAAUCCCCGGGCUCAACCUGGGAACUGCAUUCAAAACUGACUGACUAGAGUAUGGUAGAGGGUGGUGGAAUUUCCUGUGUAGCGGUGAAAUGCGUAGAUAUAGGAAGGAACACCAGUGGCGAAGGCGACCACCUGGACUAAUACUGACACUGAGGUGCGAAAGCGUGGGGAGCAAACA
Molecule: ribosomal RNA, 427 nt
Filed under: uncultured bacterium
Lineage: Bacteria
Description: partial 16S ribosomal RNA
Rfam family: Bacterial small subunit ribosomal RNA
Source: RNAcentral